GACAGAGUUCAGUGUGUCAAAUCGGAGGGCCUACUGUCUGGACCUCUGGCAGUCUCUAUGGGGGUACCACAGGGUUCAAUUCUUGGGCCAACUCUUUUCUCUGUAUACAUAAAUGAUGUCGCUCUUGCUGCUGGUGAAUCUCUGAUCCACCUCUACGCAGACGACACCAUUCUGUAUACUUCUGGCCCUUCUCUGGACACUGUGUUAACAACCCUCCAGACGAGCUUCAAUGCCAUUCAACUCUCCUUCCGUGGUCUCCAACUGCUCCUAAACACAAGUAAAACUAAAUGCAUGCUCUUCAACCGAUCGCUGCCUGCACCUGCCCGCCCAUCCAGCAUAACUUCUCUGGACGGUUCUAACUUAGAAUUUGUGGACAACUACAAAUACCUAGGUGUCUGGUUAGACUGUAAACUCUCCUUCCAGACUCACAUCAAUCAUCUCCAAUCCAAAGUGAAAUCUAGAAUUGGCUUCCUAUUUCGCAACAAAGCAUCCUUCACUCAUGCUGCCAAACAUACCCUCGUAAAACUGACCAUCCUACCAAUCCUCGACUUCGGCGAUGUCAUUUACAAAAUAGCCUCCAAUACCCUACUCAACAAGCUGGAUGCAGUCUAUCACAGUGCCAUCCGUUUUGUCACCAAAGCCCCAUAUACAACCCACCACUGCGACCUGUAUGCUCUCGUUGGCUGGCCUUCACUUCAUAAUCGUCGCCAAACACAUUGGCUCCAGGUCAUCUACAAGACCCUGCUAGGUAAAGUCCCCCCUUAUCUCCGCUCACUGGUCACCAUAGCAGCACCCACCUGUAGCACGCGCUCCAGCAGGUAUAUCUCUCUGGUCACCCCUAAAGCCAACUCCUCCUUUGGUCGUCUCUCCUUCCAGUUCUCAGCUGCCAAUGACUGGAACGAACUACAAAAAUCUCUAAAACUGGAAACACUUAUCUCCCUCACUAGCUUUAAGCACCAGCUGUCAGAGCAGCUCACAGAUCUCUGCACCUGUACAUAGCCCAUCUUUAAUUGAGCCCAAACUACUACCUUUUCCCCUACUGUAUUUAUUUAUUUUAUUUAUUUUGCUCAUUUGCACCAUAUUAUUUAUAUUUUAACUUUUAACUUUCUUCAAACUACAAAUCUACCAUUCCAGUGUUUUUCUUGCCAUACUUUAUUUACUUUGCCACCAUGGCAUUUUUUUGCCUUUACCUCCAUUAUCUCACAUCAUUUGCUCACAUUGUAUAUAGUCUUAUUUUUUUCUACUGCAUCAUUGAUUGUAUGUUGUUUUACUCCAUGUGUAACUCUGUGUUUUUGUAUGUUGUCGAACUGCUUUGCUUUAUCUUGGCCAGGUCGCAAUUGUAAAUGAGAACUUGUUCUCAACUUGCCUACCUGGUUAAAUAAAGGUGAAAUAAAAUU
RNAcentral lists this long non-coding RNA (1397 nucleotides) under Salmo trutta (river trout). Its description in RNAcentral is "lncRNA (ENSSTUG00000036017.1)". Lineage: Eukaryota; Metazoa; Chordata; Actinopteri; Salmoniformes; Salmonidae. The record is from RNAcentral.